Long non-coding RNA from Rhodamnia argentea, 182 nucleotides. RefSeq lists it as uncharacterized. The transcript is spliced from 3 exons. The record is from RefSeq and is a predicted model, not a curated record. Lineage: Eukaryota; Viridiplantae; Streptophyta; Magnoliopsida; Myrtales; Myrtaceae.
AGCAAUUGCAGAAAUCCCCAAGCUCGCCAUUUAUGGUGUAACCAUCUGAAUGUGGCAAAUCUUUUCCUUCUAUCAUUGCCUCGUCCACCAAUUCCUUCAAGUCCCCCAUGUACCAAGCAGCCAUUCAUUUGGCCAAAAAGAAUGGUGACGCGACAAAAAGAAAAAGAAAAAGCCAGACAUAU